UCGCUGUAUUUCAAUUUAGCAAAACUUUGGCCAGGAUAAUCUAUCAGAUGGAUUUGAUAUUUUGAAAUACAAUGUGGACAACCUGAUCAGAGUUGACAAUUGAACUCUAAGGUGUCUUAUGAGCAUUUUGGUCAAGGAGAUGAAUUAUAUGAAAACUAUAUCCGCAUGAGUUCUAAGGAUGUUGUUCUACACAUUCGACCUAUCCGACCGUCGAGUACCAUUGCUAGAUGGUCACUUCGAUUGGUACAAAAAUUUAUUUCUGUACUACCGACUUAGGUUCGGACCUAUGAGGUCACACAUAUUAGAGUUCACGAUC
Molecule: long non-coding RNA, 316 nt
Filed under: Elaeis guineensis (African oil palm)
Lineage: Eukaryota; Viridiplantae; Streptophyta; Magnoliopsida; Arecales; Arecaceae
Description: long non-coding RNA (EGUI_LNC043040)
Source: RNAcentral